UGGCUGUGAUGACAACAAAAUCACUUAUUCAUACCUUAAUUUCAAUUAAGGACAGAAACUGAUGACUUUAUUUGUGCGUGUCUGAGCCGA
Non-coding RNA from Brachypodium distachyon (stiff brome), 90 nucleotides. Lineage: Eukaryota; Viridiplantae; Streptophyta; Magnoliopsida; Poales; Poaceae. The record is from Rfam.